CUUUCAGGAAGUCUCUAGGAGGGCUUGACAAAUCUCUAUUUGACUUCUAUAUGGAUCAUAAAGUGAAAUGUUUGAAGAGGAAGUUAUCAUGUGCUGGAAGAAGAAACAUGAAACUGAAGCUGUGUACUGAUUUCCCGUUUAUUCUAUUUCCCUGCUUCAAUGGCCACUUAAUUUUGGUCUUCACUCAAUUUUCUGAUGUGAAACCUCGGAUUCUUGCGUGGAGAGGGUUCUGUUCAAAAAUCUUCAGCGAGUAAGAGUAUGGAUUUUGAUGCAUCUGAUGUUCCAUUUGCUACAAGAGUUCAGUCAAAUUUUGGUGAUCAUUUUGGCUUUGAGUUUGCUCAUGAACUUGUGGAUCUUGUUCAGGCCAGACAUCAAGAGAAGCCUAAGAUUUUUGUUGAAUGUUCAGAGUCUCUCAUUGUUGAUGUAUUGAAUUGUGUGUUGCAAUCUUCUUUUCUUGCAAACAUUCAUGCUUCCGUGGAAGUUUUUGGCAGUAAGAAUCAUUCACUGAGCAAGUUCUCAUUUGAGUGUUUCUAUUCAAUCUGCUAUCCCCAAUACAAAGUCUGCGAGAUUUGAUGAUAUUCCAGGGAAGUGAUAUCCGUUUUGUUUAUUGGGAGGCAAGUUCAAGCAGAGAUGUUUAACGGCUCUUUUGCUUCUACCUUUUGUUGUCAGGUGUGGUACAGGGAAGCUGCUGGGAGGGAUCACGUGGGGUUUUAUUGUUCUUUUGGUUUAGUUGACAACUGGGUCUUCUUUUUUUAGCCCGACCCGUUUAGUGGGAAUGAGAAGUAUCAGUGGUUUUGGGCAAAUACAGAUGUCAAUAGAACAUUGCUCAGAAAAUUUGAAUGAUAUCCAAUUGGAAAAUAGUCAAAUGUUAAAUAGGUAGUCCCAAAUUAAA
This is a non-coding RNA of Triticum urartu, 892 nucleotides long. The record is from RefSeq and is a predicted model, not a curated record. Lineage: Eukaryota; Viridiplantae; Streptophyta; Magnoliopsida; Poales; Poaceae.